This 13119-nucleotide long non-coding RNA is filed under the name Citrus x clementina. Its description in RNAcentral is "Citrus clementina (C. clementina) long non-coding RNA (CCLE_LNC004085)". The record is from RNAcentral. Lineage: Eukaryota; Viridiplantae; Streptophyta; Magnoliopsida; Sapindales; Rutaceae.
AAUAUAUUAACAUUACUAGUCUACCAGACAAAUUAAAUUAUGAUAAAUUAUAUUUGUAUUUAUUAAAUACACAAAAGCUCUUUCUUUCAAGUGUAUGUACAUGGAAACCUCCAAAUAUAUAUCCAAACAUUUCACCUGAUAAAUGCAGAGCCAUCUAAAAAUUGUCUAAACAAAGAGCAGAAAAAUUAGAGAAAUAGUGUGGACCACAUCCGUAGUAACUUUCAUUGCAGUAGACAGACAAAUUGAAACUACUGAGAACCAAAGGGCAUUUAUUAUGCAUUGGAAAGCUUCAGAUAUGCUUCAGCAAGUGCGGUUUGUAUUGCUGCCCCAAGUACAUCCUCGUCAAGAAAAAAGUGAGAGGAGUGGUGGGAGUGAAUUGAACCUGAUUGGUGUCAAAAAUUGAAUGUUUAUUAAGGGAUACAAAUGUUAUUUUUUUUAUUAAUGUAAUUUAUAUUUGUAAUUGUGUAACGUAUUGUGAAUUUUUAAUUAUUUUUCUAAAUAUUUGAUUUUGUGUAUUUUUUAUGUGUUUAUUAGGUAAAAAUAAUAAUUUCAUGCAAUUUGAGGCUCCGAAAAAUAUAUGAAUGUCGAAUUUGGAUUUCAGAAGUCCGAAAAAUUAUGUCAUUAUCGAGGUGGAUCCAAGACUUUUGUUGUAAAUUUUUACGUUUUUACCACAGUAAAUGUGGUAAUUGUAAAAUUAUAAGUUUUUAUCAUGUUAGGUAUGGUAAUUGUUAGUGGAAUGUGUUGGAUAUGCUUGAGUGGAUAAGUUAGGUUUAUGUUUUAUUAGUGGGAUUAUUAGUGGGACAAAUGUAAGGUUAAAAUAUAAUUAGAUUUUUUUAUUUGUGUGGUGAGGAUUUACCAUGUAUUAGUAUAAAUAGAGGGGGGGUGAACACACCUCUCCACACCUUAUCUUUUCUUCUUUCCCCCCAAAUUCUUCUUCUCAUCUCUCUUUGUAAUUUAUUUUCAAUCAAUAAAAAUAGUUUUAUUUCAAUUUUCAAAUUCCAUUUUUAAUUAUGUGUUUUUCAAUUUUAGUAAUUUCCUUUAUUAAAAAAAAUGUUUAGCUAAAUAUUAAUAGUUAGGGGAAGGUGAAACUCUUAGGAAAUAAAUAUGAUUUAAUCAAAUUCUAUUUUUAAUUUUAUAAAUUAAGUUAUUUUCUAUUUAAUUUUAUACAUAUUUUCUAUUAUGAAAUUUUGAUUUAUUGUAGACAAACAAGGGAGUUUGGCACAAUAAAUUCUUUUUAUCUUAAUAUAAGGUAUGGUAAAAUAGUAUUUUGACUUGUUGUAGACAAAUUAAAUUUUACCGCAAUGAAUACUUAAAUCAUCAUAAAAUUAAAGGGAAAAUAAUAAUAAUUUAUAUAAUUAAUCUUUUGGGCAAUAAAUCUAAAACAAAUGGCAAAAAGAAUUUAUUAAGUUUUAUUUAUAACUAAAAGUGAAUUCACAACCCUAACUAAUUCAAUUUCAUAGUUUUAUUUAAAUUAAGUUGUUUAUAUUUAAGUUUUAUUUUCAAAUUUUAGAUAAAAUAAAAUAAACAAAUUAAAUCUUUUCUCUGUGGAUCGACCUCGGACUCACCGAGAUAUAUUAUAAUUAGGCACUCUUAUACUUGAGAGUAAAUCAAACACUUUUAAGUCGUGUCAAGUUUUUUGCGCCAUUGAUGGGGAGAGGUAUUUAUUUUGUUUUAUUUUUCCUUUUAUUUUUUGUACUUUUUGUGUAAAUUUCCCCCUUUUCCUUUUCUUAAAUUCUCUUCUACCCCCACAUCUUUCAUAAUUGUAGUUUCACCCCAACAAUUCUCGUUUCUUGCUCAUUCUUCUCAUAAUUAUGUUCUGACCCUAAAAUCUUUCCGAAUCUUCACUCUCAUCCCACAUGGCUAGGGAUGGCAAAUUAACCCGGACCUGGAUCGGACCCGGACAAACCCAGAUAAUCCGAUCCGGGUUUAACCCGCACCGAAAGGUAAUACAAUGCGGAUCCGGAAAUGAUAUUUUGAACCUGGAUACAUUCCGGGUCCGGAUCCAGUUUUAUCUUAACCCGGACCCGGAUAAUUUAAGUAUAAAAGAAAAAAAAACCCCCCUAAUGCCUUAAGUCUUAACCUACUACAGCCGCUUCUUUCUUCUCUAAUUUCUCUUUCUUUCUUCUCCAUCUUCUCUUUUCAUUAAAUCCACUGCAGCUGCUUUCUUUCUUCUCCAAUUUCUCUUUCAUUCACUCAAAUGACUUGGAAAAAUCUUUGUAUUGAAAGGAAGACAAAGAGGAAUGUGCCCAUUAAGGCUGAUCCUCAUUUUUUAUCACUCUUGUUGGUUUUUUAUAGCUGUUUUCCGCCACUCCUGCUAGUUUUUUGUCACUAGAAACUGCCGAAUCUCCACAGUAACUUUCUGGCGAUGCUCUCCUCGACGCCAACGACAACACCAAUGCCACUAAAAAUCUGAAAACUCAGCAAUCCUCCCUCAACAUUCAUUUAGCUAUGGUUUCGGAAUUUUGGUGAUUUGAGAUUUGGAGAUUUGAGGAAGUAACAUUGAGAGAAAAAAAAAAUUGUAAUAGAUAUCUGGGUUUGGAACCCGCAAUCCGGAAACCCAGACCCGGAAUUAAAAUAUUCAGGUUAUAUUUGGGUCCGGUAUAUCAAAAUUGUCAUCCGGGUCCGGAACCGGAAAGGCCGGACCCGGAUUUUGCUAUCCCUACACAUGGCUCAAUUUUAAACUUCUAAAAAUUAUGGUGUGGCCAUAAAAUAUAAAUAAUUUGCAAUAAGAUCCCUAGACGAAAUUUCUCACAGUAAUUAGACUUGGACUUAUUUGGACUUAAUGUGGACCAAGCAAACUAACUACAAAUUUUUUUAACAAACUAACUACUAAUUUUUUUUAUUUCAGUUAUUUAAUUUUCAGUUUUUUUAUUUCCUUUUUUUUCUUUUUAUUGGUGGGUUCAACCACCAAAUUGUUAUUUAAUUUUAAAUUAUUAAUUUUCUUUUGUACACUCAUAUUAUUUGCAUAUUUAAUUUUCAUUUUUUUCUUUUUGCAAUUUUCAUUUAGUGUUUGUGUUACGAAUUUGGUUGUUAUCUUUGUGAUAUAAUUAUUGUAUGAGACGUUGGUCUCGCACUUCAAGUGGCAGGUUAAUUUGUAGAUCUGAAUCACCACCACCAAGCAUGGACGAGAUCCAAGAUGAAAACAAUUUAGACCAACUUAAUCCUCUAAUUGAUCAGGGAGACAACCAAUCUCAACAUGAUCAUAAUCAACCGAGAACUUUGAGAGACUACAUGAAUCCAACAAGAAUUGGAGCACCGUCGUGUAUAGUAUUUCCUCCAGAAGCAUCUCGAUUUAACUUCAAACCAGGUAUUAUCCAACUUUUACCAACAUUUCAUGGUUUAGUAUCUAAAAAUCCAUAUUUGCAUCUAAGAGAUAUCGAGGAAGUUUGUAAUACAUACACAGAUCAAAAUUGUAGCAUGAACAUAAUUAGAUUAAAGUUUUUUCCUUUUUCAUUAAAAGAUAAAGCUAAAACUUGGCUACAAAACCUUAGAUCUGGAUCAAUAAGAACUUGGAAUAACAUGCAAGAACAGUUUUUGAAAAAAUUCUUUCCACCUCAUAGAACAAAUUCUUUUAAAAGGUAAAUUACUUCUUUUACUAAAAAAAAUGGAGAAACAUUAUACCAAUGUUGGCAUAGGUUUAAAGAAUUGCUUAACAUAUGUCCACACCAUGGUUUUGAAACUUGGCGAUUGGUCACUUAUUUCUACGAGGGCUUAAUACCACAAACUAGACACGUUGUAGAAAUGAUAUGUAAUGGUAAAUUUAAAGAUAAAAAUCCUGAAGAUGCACUAGAUUACCUUGACCAACUAGCCGAAAAUGCACAACAUUGGGAUACCGUUAGAAAUUUUGAAUUAACUAAUAAACCACAACCAUCUCCAUCUAGUGGAGGAAUCUACAACCUUAGGGAAGAUCAUGAUUUAUAAGAAAACUUUGCAUCCCUAGUUAGGAAAGUUGAAGCUUUGGAAAAUAAAAAAAGUGAUCAAGUAAAAUCUGUUCAAGAAAUUGCAUGUGAUGUUUGUAGUUCUAAUGAUCAUUUCAUUCAAGAUUGUCCCACUCUGCCUGCACUCAAAGAAUGUUUGCAUGAUCAAGCUAAUGCCAUCAACACUUUUAACAAACCAAACCCAUAUUCACAAACUUAUAAUCCUAGUUGGAGAAAUCAUCCAAAUUUUAGUUGGAGGAAUAAUAAUAAUGCACAAUCUUCACAAGUAUCACCUCCACAAAAUUUUCAAAAUACUCAACCUUUUGUAUCAUAUGUUCCACCACCAUGGAAAAAUUUGGAAGGUACAAUGCAUUCAUUCAUUAGGAAGCAAGAUGCUAUUAACAAUCAAAAUGCACAAACCUUUUCUGAUUUGAAAGAUACUCUUGCUAAAAUUGCUUAUGCACUCACAAUUCAAGAAAAAGGAAAAUUUCCAGCUCAACAACAAACAAAUCCUAAGAUUCAAAAUGCACCCAUAGACCAUGUUAAGUCAAUUAUAACUCUUCGUAGUGGUAAGGUUAUUGAUCGGCUUAUUCCUUAACUUUGUGAAAAUGAAAAUUCAAAGGGUAAGGAAGAACUAGAUAAACUUACACCUAGUGAAGAAAUAACUAAUGUUCCAUCUGAACCACCAUUUCAGCAUGCAUUAAAUAAACCAAGGAAAUCAAACCACUCUUCUGAAAUUUAUGAAAUCUUUAAGCAAGUGAAAGUUAACAUUCCUCUGUUAGAUGCAAUCAAGCAGGUACUUUCAUAUGCCAAAUUUUUAAAGGACUUAUGCAUUGUUAAGAGGAAAUUGAAGGUAAAAAAGAGUGCUUUCAUGGCUGAACAGGUAAGUGCCAUUCUGUCUACAAAUAAUAAGUUGAAGUAUAAAGAUCAUGGUUGUCCUACUAUUUCUUGUAUUAUUGGAGACCACAAAAUUGAGCAUGCUUUGUUAGACCUUGGUGCUAGUGUUAAUUUGCUUCCACAUUCAGUUUAUCUUCAACUUAAUAUUGGUGAGUUAAAAUCAACUUCAACUACACUUUUACUUGCCGAUAGAUCAGUUAAAAUACCAAAAGGAAUAGUGGAAGAUGUUUUAGUACAAGUUGAUAAAUUCAUAUACCCUGUGGAUUUUAUUAUUUUAGAAACUGAACCUGUUGUGAAUAAUUAUAAACCAAUUCCUGUAAUUUUGGGUGCAGGAAUGGUUUAAUGAAUUUUUCAUUUGGAAAUAGGACUCUCGAAUUGAAUGUUUUCAAUAUGUGUAGGCAACAUAAUGAGGAAAAUGAGAAUGAAGAUGAAAUUGAUGAACAAAAGGAAUUGCUUGAAUCUUGUAUAGAUGAGAAUAUUCAAAAAAGGAGUUUUUCUGAACUUAGUGAUAUUUGUUUGGUUAAUUCGAAUGAAUCAAAUAAACAACUUGAACAUGAUACUUCUAAUGUAAAUUUGUUAUUCAAAAAAGGGAGUUUUUUUUAACUUAGUGAUAUUUGUUUGGUUAAUUCAAUUGAAUCAAAUAAACAACUUGAACAUGAUACUUCUAAUAUAAAUUUGUUAUUCAAAAAGGGAGUUUUUCUAAACUUAGUGAUAUUGUUUGGUUAAUUCGAUUGAAUCAAAUAAACAACUUGAACAUGAUACUUCUAAUAUAAAUUUGUUAUUUGAUUCUUGUCAGACUUUGCAAAGUGAUGAUGGGAAACCAAAAUUGAGGAACUUGGAAUCAUUGAAAAGACUAAACAACAAGAAGCGCCUAAAUUGGAAUUGAAAAAUUUGCCAAAGGGAUUGAAGUAUGCUUAUCUUGGAGAAGAACAAACUUAUCCUUCAACCUUAUCAAGCGACCAAGAAGGUAAGUUACUAUCUGUUCUUAAAAAGCAUAAAAACGCAAUUGGAUGGACUUUAAAUGACAUUAAAGGUAUUAAUCCUUUAAUUUGCACACAUAGAAUCAAUUUGGAAGAAAAUGAUAAAACAUGUCAACAACCUCAAAGAAAAUUAAACCCACACAUGAAAGAAGUAGUAAAAAUAGAAGUUCUUAAGUUACUUGAUGCAAGAAUUAUCUACCCUAUCUCUGAUAGUAAGUGGGUAAGUCCUACACAAAUAGUGCCUAAAAAAUUUGGAAUCACUAUAGUUAGAAAUGAAAAAGAUGAAUUAAUUCCAACAUGAAUUACGUCUAGUUGGCGCAUGUGCAUUGAUUAUAGGAAAUUAAAUAAAGCCACUAGAAAAGAUCAUUUUCCAUUACCAUUUCUUGAUCAAAUCUUAGAAAGAGUAGCUGGACAUCCCUACUACUGCUUUUUAUAUGGAUAUUCAGGUUAUUAUCAAAUUCCUAUAGCACUUGAAGACCAAGAAAAAACCACAUUUUCAUGUCCCUUUGGAACAUUUGCAUUUAAAAGAAUGUCAUUUGGACUUUGUAAUGCUCCUGCAACAUUUUAAAAAUGCAUGCUAAGUAUUUUUACUAAUAUGAUUGAACAUUAUUUAGAGGUCUUUAUGGAUGAUUUGACAGUGUUUAGGAAUUCUUUUGAUGAUUGCCUUGAUAAUUCGGAAAACGUUUUAAAAAGAUGUGUUGAAAAAGAACUCGUUUUAAAUUGGGAAAAAUGUCAUCACAUGGUUACUUCUGGAAUUGUUUUGGGUUUUGUUGUAUCUGUUAAAAGAAUUGAAGUUGACAGCAAAAAUUGAAGUCAUAUAUAAAUUGCCACAACCAAAAAUAGUUAGAGAUAUGCGAUCCUUUUUAGAACAUGCAGGAUUUUAUAGGAGGUUUAUAAAAAAAUUUAGUGUCAUAUCUAAAUCACUUUGUAGCCUCUUAUUAAAAGAUGCACCAUUUGAAUGGACUGAUGAUUGCCAAAAGUCUUUUGAGAAAAUAAUUUGCCUUUUGACAUUUGCACCUAUUAUGCAAUCUCCUGAUUGGUCUUUGCCUUUUGAAUUAAUGUGUGAUGCAAGUGACUUUGCUGUUGGUGUUGUUUUAGGACAAAAAAAGGAUCGUAAGUCGUUUGUGAUUUAUUAUGCGAGUAAGACUUUGGAUAGUACUCAAAUGAAUUAUUCUACAACUAAAAAAGAAUUACUUGUUGUGGUGUAUGCAUUAAACAAAUUUCGCUCAUAUUUGCUUAGAUCUAAAACUGUUGUUUUUACUGAUCACACUGCUGUGAGAUACUUGAUGACUAAACCACUUUGUAGCCUCUUAUUAAAAGAUGCACCAUUUGAAUGGACUGAUGAUUGCCAAAAGUCUUUUGAGAAAAUAAUUUGCCUUUUGACAUCUGCACCUAUUAUGCAAUCUCCUGAUUGGUCUUUGCCUUUUGAAUUAAUCUGUGAUGCAAGUGACUUUGCUGUUGGUGUUGUUUUAGGACAAAAAAAGGAUCGUAAGUCGUUUGUGAUUUAUUAUGCUAGUAAGACUUUGAAUAGUACUCAAAUGAAUUAUUCUACAACUAAAAAAGAAUUACUUAUUGUGGUGUAUGCAUUAAACAAAUUUCGCUCAUAUUUGCUUGGUUCUAAAACUGUUGUUUUUACUGAUCACAUUGCUGUGAGAUACUUGAUGACUAAACAAGAUGUCAAACCAAGCCUAAUUCGUUGGAUUUUGUUACUUCAAGAAUUUGACCUCACCAUCAAAGAUAAAAAGGGUGCCGAAAAUGUCAUUGCUGAUCAUUUAUCAAGACUCACAUCUGAAAUCUGCACUGAUGUAACACCCAUCAAUGAUUUCUUUCCCGAUGAAUUUUUAUUAUAUGUUACUUCAAUACCAUGGUAUGCUAACAUUGUUAAUUUCCUUGUUAUAGGUAAAAUGCCUUCGCAAUGGAACACUCAGGAGAAGAAAAAAAUUUUGGUUGAAGUAAAGAAAUUUUAUUGGAAUGAUCCUUACUUGUUCAAAUAUUGCCCUAAUCAGAUUUUUCGACGAUGCAUUCUUGAUAAUAAGGUAAGUAGUGUCAUUAAUUUUUGUCAUUCUGAAGCAUGUGGUGGACACUUUUCUUCAAGAAAAACUACGGCUAAAAUUUUGCAAUGUGGAUUUUAUUGGCCUGCCAUAUUCAAAGACACAUAUAAAUUUUGCAAAACUUUUGAAAACUGUCAAAAAUUAAGAUCAAUUAGUAAAAAAAACAUGAUGCCCUUAGAUCCCACACUUGAGAUUGAAAUAUUUUACUCUUGGGGAAUUCAUUUUAUGGGUCCAUUUCCACCAUCUUUUGGAUUUGUGUACAUAUUAGUUGCAGUUGAUUAUGUCUCAAAAUGGAUUGAAGCAAUGUCUUGUCGAAAUAAUGAUAGUAAAAUUGUCGUUAAAUUUUUAAGAGAAAACAUUUUAAGUCGAUUUGGAAUUCCUCAAGCCAUUAUUAGUGAUGGAGGUAGGCAUUUUUGUAAUAAGUCAUUUGAGUUUUUAAUGAAAAAAUAUGGAAUUACUCAUAAAAAUGCUACCCCUUAUCAUCCUCAAACAAAUGGUCAAGUUGAAUUAGCAAAUAGGGAGAUAAAACAAAUUUUAGAAAAAACAGUUAACCCAAACCGCAAAGAUUGGUCUCUUCGAUUGACUGAUGCACAUUGGGCAUACUGUACUGCAUUUAAAACGUCUUUAGGAAUGUUACCUUGUCGGCUAGUUUAUGGUAAACUCAUUCACUUACAUGUUGAACUUGGGCAUAAAUCAUUUUGGGCUGUUAAAGCUUUUAAUUCAAAUUUGGAUUAUGUUGGUAAUGUACGAAAAUUGCAAUUGAAUAAACUUGAGGAAUUAAGAAAUGAUGCAUAUGAAAAUUCAAGAAUUAUUAAGGCAAGAACAAAAAAUUUUCAAGAUAAAAGAAUUUUUCGAAAAACAUUUGAAAUUGGUCAAAAAGUGUUGCUUUAUAAUUCUCGUCUUCAUUUGUUUUCAGGAAAGUUAAAAUCAAAGUGCAGUGACCCAUUUAUUGUAAAAAAUAUAUAUCCACAUGGGGCUGUAGAAAUUGAGAAUCCAAAAAAUAGUGUCACAUUUAAAGUUAACGGACAAAGAAUAAAGCCCUAUCUGGAAAACCAAUCACGUGAACCAAGCACCGAAAUAAAUUUGAGUGACCCACAAACUCUUGAUUAAGUUUUUAAUGAGUAUUUUAACUUUUCACUGUUAUUUUCCCGUUUGAAUUGUUUGACUGUCUUGAAUGAUACGCGUUGUGAUGUUUCUUACUUAAGUGUGUUUAAUAAUUGUGUUUUCUUCAUCAUUAUACAUCAUGAGUAUCUCAAUAAGGAAGAUUUUGUUCACACGUCUUAAAAGACUUUUGCGAAUAAGAUUUCACUUGAGAAGAUUGAUACAGAGCUGUAAAUUACAUCCAAUUUGGGAACGACAACCACCAGAAUUAGUGGCCUACAUUGAGGAUCAAGAAAGACAACUAAGAACAAUAGAGAGGUUAACUCAAUGAGAGGACGAAUGUAAGUUCAUUUUCCUUUGUACAUAUUGUGUUUCUUUUUUGUUGUUCGCUUUCACGUUUAAUCUGAUUUUACAGAUUUGAUUUUGGUGUGUUUUGAUUUAUUUUCCCGUAUAAAUGGAGAAUAACGGUACUCCGUGACUUCUUAAGUCGGUAUCCUCAAUUUCCCACAAUAACUGGAAUCUCAAAAUCAAGCAUGGAAGAAAUACAACAUAAAUUGCAUAAGCGUUUUUCUUCUCUCCCUCAAAAUGCACUCAAAAAAAUUUACAAAGCUCGUUGUGAAAGAUUGCGUUUGUUAAUGACAACGAAAUUUCUUCUGAUAUUCGUUGGUUAAUUGAAGCAAAGAUCCAAUUAGUUGGUGAGUUUCCUGAUCCAUUUAUUUCUUACAUGCCUGGUUUUGGUAAAAGCACAUUUGCUAAAAAACGGAGAGCUAAAAGACUUGGCUCAGAAUGUCAUAAUUGUGUGCGACUUAGUUGCAAACUAGAAGUUUGUAAAUCUUUAGGAAUGAUUUCUAAUAAUCGAGAAGAUAAAAUUAAAUUCGUCAAAGAUGGCAUAAGUAAAGAAUCGUUGGAUGAUAUCUUACGAUCUCUUGAGACGCAUCAAAACAGACAUGUGCAAUAUGAGAUACACAGGUUAUGGAGACUAUUCCAAAAACAAUGUGCACAGUUUAGUCUUGGGAAUCUAACUCAAAAAGACCUUAUUUGCCAGUUUAUAAGAAAGUUGGAUGGGAAGCCUAUCCUCAACCCAUAAAGGGCGUUCAAGCCGUUACCAGACGUAAAACCAGAGAAAGAUGUGAGCCACAAUCACAACUACCAGUAAAUAUUCUUUUACUUUAUUGUUCUUUUAUCAUUUGCAUUAUUGUAUGGUGGGAUUUUGUAUCUAAUCAUUAUUUGUUUUCUUUUACUUUUUUCUUUCUUUUCACUGUUUGCUUUUCUUUUUACUGUUUACUUUUGAAUAAUUGAGACAUGAGCUUUAUGCGUCAUCUAACAAAUACACCAACUCAUUUAUAGUUGUUUCUCAUUUUGUUUGUCACUCAGAUCUUUAAAUAAGAGCUCUUUUUCCAACCACUCACAACUUAUUUUUGAAGAUUAUUCUAAUGGCAACAUCUUCGAGUUCGUUCAAGCAGCUGUAGAUCUUGGUCGUGCCAUAACUUAGAGGAAACUGCACCUUGUAUAUGGAGGAGGUGACCACGGGUUAUCAAAACUUGUCUCAGAAUCUGUUUUUAUUAGAGGAAACCAAGUACUAGGUAUCAUUCCACAAGCCUUAAAACCUCUAGGAUGUAGGUUUGAUGUACCAAUUGGAGAAGAGUUAGUUAUCUCAAGUAUGCAAGAGUGAAUAACUGAGAUGUUAAAUCAUGCUGACGCUUUCAUUUUCUUGCCAGGAGAUCUUGCAACUUUAGAGGCAUUGAGCCCAUUUAAACUUCUAUAAAAAACCCAUCGGUUUACUAAAUGUUAAUAAUUUUUUUGAUGGGUUGCUCACAUUCAUUAACCAUGCAAUUAAGAAUCAUUUUAUUCUAAUCUCUGCGAAAAAUCUCUUUGUUUGUGCUUCUACGGCUAACGAGUUACUUGAUCUUUUACAAGCUUACAAACCAGAGCUAGAUCCUAAGACCUUGGCAUUGGAAUGGUCGACUGAUGAUGGUAACCCUAGCCCUAGGAAGAAGUACAAGUUGGACUUAUCUUUGGUUGUCACUAUCUUCUCAAAGCUAUGAGGUUAUGUCUUUUAAACUCUACUUCUUUCCUUUAAGUCAUUGAGGACAAUGUCUUGUUCAGGUUGGGGGGAGGGAAUAGUUGACAACUGUGGAAUAUAGCAAAUCCUAGUAAUGCUUUUGUCGAAGAUGGCAGAAUAUGAGGUGUAGCGACUCUAUAAACGCAUCUUCAGUGGCUUGUUCAGGUGUGAUCUUUCCUAUUUCUUCUUUUAUUUUUUUUUUUAAUUUUUUUCCUUUUUGCAUGCAUAUUUUUAAACUAUGAAUUAUGUUUAGAUUAGGUUGGAGGGAGGGUAGUUGACGUAAAUUGUAAAUAAGUGUGUUUAUUUUUUUAAAAAAACCCAAAAAAAACAAAAACAACAAUUUUUUUGUGUCUAGGAUGGCUGUGUAAAGAGUCACAACUUUUGAGACGCAUCCUAAUAGUCUUGUUGUAUUAUAUUUUUUAUUUUAAAAUUCAUAAUAAGUUGUUUUUGUCCCCUUUUCUUUGAAUUACUCAAAUUUGUGUACUCUCCUCUAUUUAGUUAUAAAGUUAUUUUGUUGUUUACUCAUUUAACAGGUAUUAUUAAAUCAUUCUUGACACACACUAUGACACAUACUAGUGGGUUGUAAGUUAAAAUUUUUGUAGCAUUUAGUUUUUUUAAUUUAUUCGGGAUAAUAUCUAAAGUGGUAGAAAGUGUAUAUUGCAAAAAAAAAAAGGUAAAAAAAACAAAAUUGAAUGAGUUUAAUUUUGUUAUAUCUAAAACCCGAGUAAUUAAGUUCGUAGAGGUGUUUUAAUACCUAGUGCCCUAAGGUCAACUGGUCUGGGAGUCACUGGUCUAAAGCUCGCUACAUGGGUUAUAAAUAUAUUGUUUGCUUAUUUAUUAAAAACCCGAGUAAUUAAGUUUGUAUGGGUGUUUCAACACCUAGUGCCCUAAGGUCAACUAGUCUGGGAGUCACUGACCUAAAGCUCGCUACAUGGGUUAAAAAUGUAAUUUUCAAAAAAAAGCUUGAAUAAUCUACUGCCUGAAGAUAGAAUUUCUAAUGAGUUUUAGAACGAAAAUGUUGUUUUCUUUUAAUAAAACCCCAUAAGUAUUGUGUUAAUCACUUGAGCACAAAAGAAGGUUUAUGAUAUUCUGGAUAAUGAGUGGACAACCAAGAGUUUUAAAAAAAAUUGAGAGUUUAUUUAUUUGGUAGUUUAGAGGAUAGAUGAACAACUAUUAACUUGUAUGUGAAUUUUGUAAAUCUUAAUUUAAUAUAACGCUUUAAUUGAUAGGGGAUAGCAAUAAGCUAGUUGGGGGGUGUGAUUAGUGUUAAAAAUUGCAUGUUUAUUAAGGGAUAAAAAUGUUAUUUUGUUUUAUUAAUGUAAUUUAUAUUUGUAAUUGUGUAACGUAUUGUGAAUUUCUAAUUAUUUUUCUAAAUAUUUGAUUUUAUGUAUUUUUUGUGUGGUUAUUAGGUAAAAAUAAUAAUUUCAUGCAAUUUGAGGCUCCAAACAAAUGUAUGGAUGUCAAAUUUGGAUUCCCGAAGUCCGAAAAAUUAUGUCAUUAUCGAGGAGGAUCCAAGACUUUUGUUGUAAAUUUUUACGUUUUUACCACGGUAAAUGUGGUAAUUGUAAAAUUAUAAGUUUUUAUCAUGUUAGGUAUGUUAAUUGUUAGUGGAAUGUGUUGGAUAUGCUUGAGUGGAUAAGUUAGGUUUAUGUUUUAUUAGUGGGAUUAUUAGUGGGACAAAUGUAAGGUUAAGAUGUAAUUAGAUUUUUUUUUUUUUUGGUUUAAACCACCCGAUUUCCGGCGACCGCAUUGGGCCCCGACUAAUUCGGAUUCGGGGUGUAGUCACAGUUAAGGCUCUUUACCCCUCCCAAAUGGUGUGUUUAGUGGGGAUCGAACCCGAGAGCUCUUCCCACUUACCCAGCCUGGGUUGCCAACUGAGCCACAACCGUUUGGUGAUGUAAUUAGAUUUUUUUAUUUGUAUGGUGAGGAUUUACCAUGUUUUAGUAUAAAUAGAGGGGGGGUGAACACACCUCUCCACACCUUCUCUUCUCUUCUUUCCCCCCAAAUUCUUCUUCUCAUCUCUCUUUGUAAUUUAUUUUCAAUCAAUAAAAUUAGUUUUAUUUCAAUUUUCAAAUUCCAUUUUUAAUUAUGUGUUUUUCAAUUUUAGUAAU